AUUGAACGCUGGCGGCAGGCCUAACACAUGCAAGUCGAGCGGAGCGGCGGACGGACGAGUAAUGCCUAGGCAUCUGCCUGGUAGUGGGGGAUAACGUCCGGAAACGGGCGCUAAUCCCUCAUACUAUCAUAUGCGCCUAGGUCGGAUUAGCUAGUGGGUGGGGUAAAGGCUUACCAAGCCGACGACCCGUAACUGGUCUGAGAGGAUGAUCAGGCACACUGGAACUGAGACACGGUCCAGACUCCUACGGGAGGCAGCAGUGGGGAAUAUUGGACAAUGUGCGAAAGCCUGAUCCAGCCAUGCAGCGUGUGUGAAGAAGGUCUUCGGAUUGUAAAGCACUUUAAGUUGGGAGGCGUUACCAACAGAAGAAGCACCGGGUAACUUCGUGCCAGCAGCCGCGGUAAUUC
RNAcentral lists this ribosomal RNA (407 nucleotides) under uncultured bacterium. RNAcentral describes it as "partial 16S ribosomal RNA". It matches the Rfam family "Bacterial small subunit ribosomal RNA", at positions 30 to 526 of the family's 1533-position model. The record is from RNAcentral.